RNAcentral lists this ribosomal RNA (497 nucleotides) under uncultured bacterium. Its description in RNAcentral is "partial 16S ribosomal RNA". It matches the Rfam family "Bacterial small subunit ribosomal RNA", at positions 28 to 507 of the family's 1533-position model. The record is from RNAcentral.
GACGAACGCUGGCAGCGUGCCUAAUACAUGCAAGUUGAGCGCUGAAGGUUGGUACUUGUACCAACUGGAUGAGCAGCGAACGGGUGAGUAACGCGUGGGGAAUCUGCCUUUGAGCGGGGGACAACAUUUGGAAACGAAUGCUAAUACCGCAUAAAAACUUUAAACACAAGUUUUAAGUUUGAAAGAUGCAAUUGCAUCACUCAAAGAUGAUCCCGCGUUGUAUUAGCUAGUUGGUGAGGUAAAGGCUCACCAAGGCGAUGAUACAUAGCCGACCUGAGAGGGUGAUCGGCCACAUUGGGACUGAGACACGGCCCAAACUCCUACGGGAGGCAGCAGUAGGGAAUCUUCGGCAAUGGACGAAAGUCUGACCGAGCAACGCCGCGUGAGUGAAGAAGGGUUUCGGAUCGUAAAACUCUGUUGGUAGAGAAGAACGUUGGUGAGAGUGGAAAGCUCAUCAAGUGACGGUAACUACCCAGAAAGGGACGGCUAACUACGUG